AGUGAACGCUGGCGGUAGGCCUAACACAUGCAAGUCGAACGGCAGCACAGUAAGAGCUUGCUCUUACGGGUGGCGAGUGGCGGACGGGUGAGGAAUACAUCGGAAUCUACUUUUUCGUGGGGGAUAACGUAGGGAAACUUACGCUAAUACCGCAUACGACCUACGGGUGAAAGCAGGGGAUCUUCGGACCUUGCGCGAUUGAAUGAGCCGAUGUCGGAUUAGCUAGUUGGCGGGGUAAAGGCCCACCAAGGCGACGAUCCGUAGAUGGUCUGAGAGGAUGAUCAGCCAAACUGGAACUGAGACACGGUCCAGACUCCUACGGGAGGCAGCAGGGGGGAAUAUUGGACAAUGGGCGCAAGCCUGAUCCAGCCAUACCGCGUGGGUGAAGAAGGCCUUCGGGUUGUAAAGCCCUUUUGUUGGGAAAGAAAAGCAGCAGGUUAAUACCCCGCUGUUCUGACGGUACCCAAAGAAUAAGCACCGGCUAACUUCGUG
RNAcentral lists this ribosomal RNA (492 nucleotides) under uncultured bacterium. RNAcentral's name for it is "partial 16S ribosomal RNA". It matches the Rfam family "Bacterial small subunit ribosomal RNA", at positions 29 to 507 of the family's 1533-position model. The record is from RNAcentral.